GAGGGUGUAGCUCAGUGGUAGAGCGUGUGCUUAGAAUGCACAAGGUCCUGGGUUCAAUCCCCCAGACCUCCA
Molecule: transfer RNA, 72 nt
Filed under: Camelus bactrianus (Bactrian camel)
Lineage: Eukaryota; Metazoa; Chordata; Mammalia; Artiodactyla; Camelidae
Also listed under: 3 other names
Rfam family: tRNA
About the family: Transfer RNA (tRNA) molecules are approximately 80 nucleotides in length.
Source: Rfam by way of RNAcentral